Molecule: unclassified non-coding RNA, 214 nt
Filed under: uncultured fungus
Lineage: Eukaryota; Fungi
Description: sequence contains ITS1, 5.8S rRNA gene
Source: RNAcentral
UCGAUUCUCCUUUGAAGGAGGUUUGGGCUGUGCUGGCCUUUCCGAAGGCAUGUGCACGUCCUCACAUCCGUACCCAUACACCUGUGCACCUGUUGUAGGUCUCGCAAGGGAUCUAUGUUAUCUUUGAUAAACACCUUGAUGUAUGUCCUUAGAAUGUCCUUAUGAUUGUCUUUGCCGCUUGAUUUAUUUUGAGUGGUGGAGAUGAAAUAUAUUA